GCAGGCCUAACACAUGCAAGUCGAACGGUAACAGGAAGAAGCUUGCUUCUUUGCUGACGAGUGGCGGACGGGUGAGUAAUGUCUGGGAAACUGCCUGAUGGAGGGGGAUAACUACUGGAAACGGUAGCUAAUACCGCAUAACGUCGCAAGACCAAAGAGGGGGACCUUCGGGCCUCUUGCCAUCGGAUGUGCCCAGAUGGGAUUAGCUAGUAGGUGGGGUAACGGCUCACCUAGGCGACGAUCCCUAACUGGUCUGAGAGGAUGACCAGCCACACUGGAACUGAGACACGGUCCAGACUCCUACGGGAGGCAGCAGUGGGGAAUAUUGCACAAUGGGCGCAAGCCUGAUGCANCCNUGCCGCGUGUAUGAAGAAGGCCUUCNGGUUGUAAAGUACUUUCANCGGGGAGGAAGGGAGNAAAGUUAAUACCUUUGCUCAUUGACGUUACCCGCAGAANAANCACCGGNUAACUCCGUGCCAGCAGCCGCGGUAAUA
This 494-nucleotide ribosomal RNA is filed under the name uncultured bacterium. RNAcentral describes it as "bacterial SSU rRNA". It matches the Rfam family "Bacterial small subunit ribosomal RNA", at positions 42 to 525 of the family's 1533-position model. The record is from RNAcentral.